RNAcentral lists this unclassified non-coding RNA (159 nucleotides) under Maritimibacter sp. HL-12. RNAcentral describes it as "6S / SsrS RNA". The record is from RNAcentral. Lineage: Bacteria; Pseudomonadati; Pseudomonadota; Alphaproteobacteria; Rhodobacterales; Roseobacteraceae.
GGCGGUCUGCCCUACUCGUGACGAGGUCAAAUUCCAGUGGCCUUAACGACUCUCGAGGGAGCUGGCUCUGUCCGGGCCCUGGUCCGGUUACCCGGUGCCCACCUGUAUAUGCAGGCUCUCGGGAAUUAGUUUACCUCGACGGUUGCGUGCGGUCCCGCC